RNAcentral lists this ribosomal RNA (497 nucleotides) under uncultured bacterium. Its description in RNAcentral is "partial 16S ribosomal RNA". It matches the Rfam family "Bacterial small subunit ribosomal RNA", at positions 28 to 507 of the family's 1533-position model. The record is from RNAcentral.
GACGAACGCUGGCGGCGUGCCUAAUACAUGCAAGUUGAGCGAUGAAGAUUGGUGCUUGCACCAAUUUGAAGAGCAGCGAACGGGUGAGUAACGCGUGGGGAAUCUGCCUUUGAGCGGGGGACAACAUUUGGAAACGAAUGCUAAUACCGCAUAACAACUUUAAACAUAAGUUUUAAGUUUGAAAGAUGCAAUUGCAUCACUCAAAGAUGAUCCCGCGUUGUAUUAGCUAGUUGGUGAGGUAAAGGCUCACCAAGGCGAUGAUACAUAGCCGACCUGAGAGGGUGAUCGGCCACAUUGGGACUGAGACACGGCCCAAACUCCUACGGGAGGCAGCAGUAGGGAAUCUUCGGCAAUGGAUGAAAGUCUGACCGAGCAACGCCGCGUGAGUGAAGAAGGUUUUCGGAUCGUAAAACUCUGUUGGUAGAGAAGAACGUUGGUGAGAGUGGAAAGCUCAUCAAGUGACGGUAACUACCCAGAAAGGGACGGCUAACUACGUG